CUAGAGAUUCAACAAUAACAAAAAAUCAACAAUAAAAAAAAACAAUAAUACCAAUUAGACAUCCAUAAGUAAGCAAUAUAAUCAGACACCAAAAAAAGUUAAUUAAAUAAGUAAAACAGCAGGAACCAUUAUAAAGACUGACUCCACACUCACAAGCUGAUCCUGGAGGAAGGUGGGACGAGCAAGUAGACUCACGGGGAUUAUACAGCGUACGUGUGAGUGUGCAGCCCCGCCACAAGUGUGAGAAGCGUGAGCAGCAGCAGCGCCGCCACACAUCGCCAGCGCCACCACAGCCUUCUUCCAUGCCUCUCCACGUCACACCUGAAUCAGCGCCCCGUGACACACCUUCCCAUACCUGCAAUUAAUCAAGGCCUCACACUUCAGGUAACGCCCCACACCUCAGCUUACCUGUUCUUAAUUAA
This is a long non-coding RNA of Scylla paramamosain (green mud crab), 422 nucleotides long. RefSeq lists it as uncharacterized. The record is from RefSeq and is a predicted model, not a curated record. NCBI's taxonomy places the organism in Eukaryota, Metazoa, Arthropoda, Malacostraca, Decapoda, Portunidae. The transcript has 3 exons.